RNAcentral lists this ribosomal RNA (405 nucleotides) under uncultured bacterium. Its description in RNAcentral is "bacterial SSU rRNA". It matches the Rfam family "Bacterial small subunit ribosomal RNA", at positions 29 to 452 of the family's 1533-position model. The record is from RNAcentral.
AGCGAACGCUAGCGGAUGGCUUAACACAUGCAAGUCGAGCGGGCAGCUUCGGCUGUCUAGCGGCGAACGGGUGCGUAACACGUGGGUAAUCUGCCUUCUGGUGGGGGAUAACCCGACGAAAGUCGGGCUAAUACCGCAUAUGGCCUACGGGUCAAAGCAGCAAUGCGCCAGUUGAUGAGCCCGCGGCCCAUUAUUUAAUCCUAGUUGGCGGGGUAACGGCCCACCAAGGGUACGAUGGGUAGCUGGUCUGAGAGGACGAUCAGCCACACUGGGACUGAGACACGGCCCAGACUCCUACGGGAGGCAGCAGUGGGGAAUAUUGCGCAAUGGGCGAAAGCCUGACGCAGCCAAUCCGCGUGGGUGAUGAAGGCCUUCGGUUGUAAGCCUGUCGUGAGGGACGAAGUU